RNAcentral lists this ribosomal RNA (1076 nucleotides) under Salmonella enterica. RNAcentral describes it as "bacterial SSU rRNA". It matches the Rfam family "Bacterial small subunit ribosomal RNA", at positions 1 to 1066 of the family's 1533-position model. Lineage: Bacteria; Pseudomonadati; Pseudomonadota; Gammaproteobacteria; Enterobacterales; Enterobacteriaceae. The record is from RNAcentral.
AAAUUGAAGAGUUUGAUCAUGGCUCAGAUUGAACGCUGGCGGCAGGCCUAACACAUGCAAGUCGAACGGUAACAGGAAGCAGCUUGCUGUUUUGCUGACGAGUGGCGGACGGGUGAGUAAUGUCUGGGAAACUGCCUGAUGGAGGGGGAUAACUACUGGAAACGGUGGCUAAUACCGCAUAACGUCGCAAGACCAAAGAGGGGGACCUUCGGGCCUCUUGCCAUCAGAUGUGCCCAGAUGGGAUUAGCUUGUUGGUGAGGUAACGGCUCACCAAGGCGACGAUCCCUAGCUGGUCUGAGAGGAUGACCAGCCACACUGGAACUGAGACACGGUCCAGACUCCUACGGGAGGCAGCAGUGGGGAAUAUUGCACAAUGGGCGCAAGCCUGAUGCAGCCAUGCCGCGUGUAUGAAGAAGGCCUUCGGGUUGUAAAGUACUUUCAGCGGGGAGGAAGGUGUUGUGGUUAAUAACCGCAGCAAUUGACGUUACCCGCAGAAGAAGCACCGGCUAACUCCGUGCCAGCAGCCGCGGUAAUACGGAGGGUGCAAGCGUUAAUCGGAAUUACUGGGCGUAAAGCGCACGCAGGCGGUCUGUCAAGUCGGAUGUGAAAUCCCCGGGCUCAACCUGGGAACUGCAUUCGAAACUGGCAGGCUUGAGUCUUGUAGAGGGGGGUAGAAUUCCAGGUGUAGCGGUGAAAUGCGUAGAGAUCUGGAGGAAUACCGGUGGCGAAGGCGGCCCCCUGGACAAAGACUGACGCUCAGGUGCGAAAGCGUGGGGAGCAAACAGGAUUAGAUACCCUGGUAGUCCACGCCGUAAACGAUGUCUACUUGGAGGUUGUGCCCUUGAGGCGUGGCUUCCGGAGCUAACGCGUUAAGUAGACCGCCUGGGGAGUACGGCCGCAAGGUUAAAACUCAAAUGAAUUGACGGGGGCCCGCACAAGCGGUGGAGCAUGUGGUUUAAUUCGAUGCAACGCGAAGAACCUUACCUGGUCUUGACAUCCACGGAAGAAUUCAGAGAUGGAUUUGUGCCUUCGGGAACCGUGAGACAGGUGCUGCAUGGCUGUCGUCAGCUCGUGUU